RNAcentral lists this ribosomal RNA (1539 nucleotides) under uncultured bacterium. Its description in RNAcentral is "bacterial SSU rRNA". It matches the Rfam family "Bacterial small subunit ribosomal RNA". The record is from RNAcentral.
GAGUUUGAUCCUGGCUCAGGAUUAACGCUGGCGGCGUGCCUAACACAUGCAAGAUCGAACGCCCCACACGUUUGUUGUUUAGGAAGACCGACUAUCAAAAGUUUUGAUAGUCAUCGGCCUUCUUGGAUAGACACCAAAGUGUGGGGAGUGGCGGACGGCUGAGUAACACGUUGGUACCUGCCCUUGACUCGGGGAUAAGCGCUGGAAACGGCGUCUAAUACCCGAUAUCCUCCUCGGGGGAAAGCUUUUGCGGUCAAGGAGGGGCCUGCGCAUGAUUAGUUUGUUGGUGAGGUAACGGCUCACCAAGGCUUCGAUCAUUAGGUGGUCUGAGAGGAUGAUCAUCAGACUGGGACUGAGACACGGCCCAGACUCCUACGGGAGGCAGCAGUGAGGAAUCUUGCACAAUGGGGGAAACCCUGAUGCAGCAACGCCGCGUGGAGGAAGACGGCCUUCGGGUUGUAAACUCCUUUUAUCAAGGACGAACAUUGACGGUACUUGAUGAAUAAGAGGUGGCUAACUAUGUGCCAGCAGCCGCGGUAAUACAUAGACCUCAAGCGUUAUCCGGAUUUACUGGGCGUAAAGCGUGCGUAGGUGUCUUGGUAAGUCUCUGGUGAAAUCUCCGAGCUCAACUCGGAAACGGUCAGAGAAACUAUCAGGAUAGAGUGUCGCAGAGGCAGACGGAAUGCUAGGUGUAGCGGUAAAAUGCGUAGAUAUCUAGCAGAACACCGAUGGCGAAGGCAGUCUGCUGGGCGAUCACUGACACUGAGGUACGAAAGCGUGGGGAGCGAACGGGAUUANAUACCCCGGUAGUCCACGCCGUAAACGAUGGGUACUUGGUAUCUGGGGUAUAGACCCCCUGGGUAUCGAAGCUAACGCGUUAAGUACCCCGCCUGGGGAGUACGGCCGCAAGGCUAAAACUCAAAGGAAUUGACGGGGACCCGCACAAGCGGUGGAGCGUGUGGUUUAAUGCGACACUAAGCGCAGAACCUUACCCAGGCUUGACAUCCCGAGAAUCCCUCCGAAAGGAAGGAGUGCCGCAAGGAGCUCGGUGACAGGUGAUGCAUGGCCGUCGUCAGCUCGUGUCGUGAGAUGUUGGGUUAAGUCCCGCAACGAGCGCAACCCUUGUCGUGUGUUGUAUUUUUCACGCGAGACUGCCUCGGUUAACGAGGAGGAAGGUGGGGUCGAAGUCAGGUCCGCAUGUCCCUUAUGCCUGGGGCGACACACGCGCUACAAUGGCCGGUACAAUGGGUUGCAAAACCGCGAGGUUGAGCUAAUCUCAUCAAAACCGGUCUCAGUUCGGAUUGGAGUCUGCAACUCGACUCCAUGAAGCUGGAAUCGCUAGUAAACGUGGAUCAGCCAUGCUGCGUUGAAUACGUUCUCGGGUCUUGUACACACCGCCCGUCACAUCACGAAAGUGGGUUGUACUAGAAGCGCCAGAGCUAACCCGCAAGGGAGGCAUGGUGUAACGGUAUGAUCCAUGAUUGGGGUGAAGUCGUAANCAAGGUAGCUGUAGGAGAACCUGCGGCUGGAUCACCUCCU